Molecule: ribosomal RNA, 520 nt
Filed under: Talaromyces purpureogenus
Lineage: Eukaryota; Fungi; Ascomycota; Eurotiomycetes; Eurotiales; Trichocomaceae
Description: eukaryotic LSU rRNA
Rfam family: 5.8S ribosomal RNA (bases 144-297)
Source: RNAcentral
AUGUCUCUAUACACCUGUUGCUUUGGCGGGCCCACCGGGGCCACCUGGUCGCCGGGGGACAUCUGUCCCCGGGCCCGCGCCCGCCGAAGCGCUCUGUGAACCCUGAUGAAGAUGGGCUGUCUGAGUACUAUGAAAAUUGUCAAAACUUUCAACAAUGGAUCUCUUGGUUCCGGCAUCGAUGAAGAACGCAGCGAAAUGCGAUAAGUAAUGUGAAUUGCAGAAUUCCGUGAAUCAUCGAAUCUUUGAACGCACAUUGCGCCCCCUGGCAUUCCGGGGGGCAUGCCUGUCCGAGCGUCAUUUCUGCCCUCAAGCACGGCUUGUGUGUUGGGUGCGGUCCCCCCGGGGACCUGCCCGAAAGGCAGCGGCGACGUCCGUCUGGUCCUCGAGCGUAUGGGGCUUUGUCACUCGCUCGGGAAGGACUGGCGGGGGUUGGUCACCACCAAAAUUUUACCACGGUUGACCUCGGAUCAGGUAGGAGUUACCCGCUGAACUUAAGCAUAUCAAUAAGCGGAAGAAUUCC